GCCUGAUCCAGCCAUGCCGCGUGUGUGAAGAAGGUCUUCGGAUUGUAAAGCACUUUAAGUUGGGAGGAAGGGCAGUAAGUUAAUACCUUGCUGUUUUGACGUUACCGACAGAAUAAGCACCGGCUAACUCUGUGCCAGCAGCCGCGGUAAUACAGAGGGUGCAAGCGUUAAUCGGAAUUACUGGGCGUAAAGCGCGCGUAGGUGGUUCGUUAAGUUGGAUGUGAAAGCCCCGGGCUCAACCUGGGAACUGCAUCCAAAACUGGCGAGCUAGAGUACGGUAGAGGGUGGUGGAAUUUCCUGUGUAGCGGUGAAAUGCGUAGAUAUAGGAAGGAACACCAGUGGCGAAGGCGACCACCUGGACUGAUACUGACACUGAGGUGCGAAAGCGUGGGGAGCAAACAGGAUUAGAUACCUGG
This 416-nucleotide ribosomal RNA is filed under the name Pseudomonas putida. RNAcentral's name for it is "bacterial SSU rRNA". It matches the Rfam family "Bacterial small subunit ribosomal RNA", at positions 381 to 790 of the family's 1533-position model. Lineage: Bacteria; Pseudomonadati; Pseudomonadota; Gammaproteobacteria; Pseudomonadales; Pseudomonadaceae. The record is from RNAcentral.